GAUGAACGCUGGCGGCGUGCCUAAUACAUGCAAGUCGAGCGAACGGACGAGGAGCUUGCUUUUCUGAUGUUAGCGGCGGACGGGUGAGUAACACGUGGAUAACCUACCUAUAAGACUGGGAUAACUUCGGGAAACCGGAGCUAAUACCGGAUAAUAUUUUGAACCGCAUGGUUCAAAAGUGAAAGACGGUCUUGCUGUCACUUAUAGAUGGAUCCGCGCUGCAUUAGCUAGUUGGUAAGGUAACGGCUUACCAAGGCAACGAUGCAUAGCCGACCUGAGAGGGUGAUCGGCCACACUGGAACUGAGACACGGGCCAGGCUCCUACGGGAGGCAGCAGUAGGGAAUCUUCCGCAAUGGGCGAAAGCCUGACGGAGCAACGCCGCGUGAGUGAUGAAGGUCUUCGGAUCGUAAAACUCUGUUAUUAGGGAAGAACAUAUGUGUAAGUAACUGUGCACAUCUUGACGGUACCUAAUCAGAAAGCCACGGCUAACUACGU
This 496-nucleotide ribosomal RNA is filed under the name uncultured bacterium. RNAcentral describes it as "partial 16S ribosomal RNA". It matches the Rfam family "Bacterial small subunit ribosomal RNA", at positions 28 to 506 of the family's 1533-position model. The record is from RNAcentral.